GAUGAAGAACGUAGUGAAAUGCGAUAAGUAGUGUGAAUUGCAGAAUUCAGUGAAUCAUCGAAUCUUUGAACGCACAUUGCGCCCUUUGGUAUUCCUUAGGGCAUGCCUGUUCGAGCGUCAUCUAAACCUUCAAGCUCAGCUUGGUGAUGGGCGACUGUCCCCCCCCCUCGCGGGGGGGACUCGCCUCAAAAACAUUGGCGGCCGGUACAUUGGCUUCGAGCGCAGCAGAAACGCGGUCUCGAGCCCGGUGGAUCGGCUCCCAUAAGCCUAUUCUUUUAUUUUGACCUCGGAUCAGGUAGGGAUACCCGCUGAACUUAAGCAUAUCAAUAAGCGGAGGA
RNAcentral lists this unclassified non-coding RNA (338 nucleotides) under soil metagenome. RNAcentral's name for it is "partial contains 5.8S ribosomal RNA, internal transcribed spacer 2, and large subunit ribosomal RNA". The stretch from base 1 to 120 matches the Rfam family "5.8S ribosomal RNA", at positions 35 to 154 of the family's 154-position model. The record is from RNAcentral.